GCCGCGGUGGUGGAACGGUAGACACGCUGGACUCAAAAUCCAGUGAUCGCAAGGACAUGAGAGUUCGAUUCUCUCCCGCGGCACCA
RNAcentral lists this transfer RNA (86 nucleotides) under bacterium. RNAcentral describes it as "tRNA-Leu". It matches the Rfam family "tRNA". Rfam says of the family: Transfer RNA (tRNA) molecules are approximately 80 nucleotides in length. The record is from RNAcentral.